Molecule: long non-coding RNA, 1683 nt
Filed under: Gallus gallus (chicken)
Lineage: Eukaryota; Metazoa; Chordata; Aves; Galliformes; Phasianidae
Source: RNAcentral
GGGUGCUAUGGGAUGCUAUGGGGCUGCUAUGGGACGCUAUGGGGUGCUAUGGGGUCGCAUUUCCCUCACCAACACGCAAUCCCGAUCCCGGACCCAAAAUCCAACACAGUCUGUGGGGUAAAAGUGGGGACGCGGAGCUGAAUCUGUAGGGCAGGGAUGGCGUCAGCCCCAGAGAAUUCCCCACAGAGACCCCACAGGGAUCCCAUAGAGAGACCCCAUAGGGACCCCAUAGGGCUCCACCUCACGCAGUGCUCUCCCCACAGCCGCAUGGUCCCGCUGCAACCUCAUGGCCAUGUAGGAACGCGCCAGCUCUGCUGGGUGCCUCACUUUGGGUCCUGGCUUCUGCUGCGCCUCCUCCGCACCCCAAAGCUCUUCGUCCUGUAGGAUGCUCUGUGCUGCCCUGGCCAGGGCUGGGGGCAGCUGCAGCACUUUGGGGUGCCGAACCCCCCCGUGCUUAUGUCUCCGUUCGCCCCGCACGCCCCACAGCAGCCGCCGUGCCCACAUGGGCGCCGCCAUCUUGCCGCCGGCACGCCGGAAGAGGAAAAGGAGGGGCUCGGCGGCUCGGCCAAUAGGAGGGGACGGAGCGUGAUGGACGGCUGGGAUGACCAACGGGAGAGCGAAAGAGGUUUCGCCGCGCGUUCCCCAUUGGUUGCUCCCAAUCACCGCCUCGGGGCCCUUAAGAGCGAAAUCAGGACCUUCUCCUUUAAAGAAACGGGAUAAAAAAGCCAUAGUUUAUUUUGUUAAUGAAAAUACGUAAUUACAAAAGCAAAAAUAUCAACCCUUCAGCAGCUCUAUGGUUGGUACGGAAUAGCGCGGCACACACAGAAGUGACGCUCCAGCAUUCAAUCCUGGUCAGUCCUCCAACGUCUCUAUGGUCGUAAGUCCUCCACCGUCUCUAUGGUUGUAAGUCCUCCACCAUCUCUAUGGCCACGAGUCCUCCACUGUCUGUAUAGCCAUAAGUUCCCCAUUGUCUCUCCGGUCACAAGUCCUCCAUACCAUAGACACCGCAAGAUCUCCAACACACUCAGGGUAGUCCUCCCAGCACCAAUGAGAGAACAAAACAACCCCAACAGUCUCUAUGAUCACAGUGACAGUUCUGCACCAAGAAAACCAUAGAGAGCAGAGAACUCCAUCCCCCAUUUCCUCCCCCCUAUGCUCUCCACUCAACGCAAGGCCGCCCUUUGGACGCUCUACCCCCUCGCCGCUCCUCUCUGUGGUCCUCAGUCCUCCAGCAGCGCUCCCAGCAUCCCCCGGGGCGCCGCCCACAGCCGCUCCCAUUGGCUGCGGCCGCGCAGGAAGAGCUCCAGGUGGAGGCGGUGCUCAACAUGGCGCCCGUGGGGGUCCCUCAGCAGAGCCCGGCGUUGGGGGGCUGCGGGUGUGGGGCAGAGCUCAGCCUCAUCGAGGCCUUCCUCAAACCCACAAAGGGAUUCUGGGGGGGGGGGGGGGGGGAACAGGGCCGUUUUGGGGUUCCUCACCCAGCUCGGAGGCGAUGGCGGCACGCAUGGGGGCGGAGCAGGAAGCCAAGAUGGCGUCCAGGACACGGCUGCCGUUGCGGUGGCAGGCGAGGGACAGGAAAUGGCCCUGUGAUGUCACGAAGGGGGCGGGGCUACAGUGAGAGGCUCCGCCCCCAACCACGGUGGCGCUUAUGAAGGUGGGCGGGGCUUCGUUGAGGCUCCACCUCCA